Molecule: transfer RNA, 72 nt
Organism: Camelus ferus (Wild Bactrian camel)
Lineage: Eukaryota; Metazoa; Chordata; Mammalia; Artiodactyla; Camelidae
Rfam family: tRNA
About the family: Transfer RNA (tRNA) molecules are approximately 80 nucleotides in length. Their secondary structure includes four short double-helical elements and three loops (D, anti-codon, and T loops).
Source: Rfam
GAGGGUAUAGCUCAGUGGUAGAGUACGUGCUUAGCACGCAUGAAGUCCUGGGUUCAAUCCUCAGUACCUCCG